UACGUAGGGUGCAAGCGUUAAUCGGAAUUACUGGGCGUAAAGCGUGCGCAGGCGGUUUUGUAAGUCUGUCGUGAAAUCCCCGGGCUCAACCUGGGAAUGGCGAUGGAGACUGCAAGGCUAGAAUCUGGCAGAGGGGGUAGAAUUCCACGUGUGAGCAGUGAAAUGCGUAGAUAUGCGGAGGAACACCGAUGGCGAAGGCAGCCCCUUGGACAGACUGACGCUCAUGCACGAAGCGU
Molecule: ribosomal RNA, 236 nt
Filed under: uncultured bacterium
Lineage: Bacteria
Description: partial 16S ribosomal RNA
Rfam family: Bacterial small subunit ribosomal RNA
Source: RNAcentral